RNAcentral lists this ribosomal RNA (254 nucleotides) under uncultured bacterium. Its description in RNAcentral is "partial 16S ribosomal RNA". It matches the Rfam family "Bacterial small subunit ribosomal RNA", at positions 524 to 776 of the family's 1533-position model. The record is from RNAcentral.
UACGAAGGGGGCUAGCGUUGUUCGGAAUUACUGGGCGUAAAGCGCGCGCAGGCGGCUAUCCAAGUCAGUGGUGAAAGCCCGGAGCUCAACUCCGGAACUGCCAUUGAAACUGUUUAGCUUGAGGAUGAGAGAGGUGAGUGGAAUUCCCAGUGUAGAGGUGAAAUUCGUAGAUAUUGGGAAGAACACCGGUGGCGAAGGCGGCUACACUGGCUCAUUACUGACGCUCAGGCGCGAUAGCGUGGGGAUCAAACAGG